UCGCAGGUGACCGCGAAUCUGAAGGAAGCCCGAGGCAAAAUGCUGGCCUGACGAACAGGAAGCGGAUAGAGGCGGCGCAGCGGGGUAAAGGGGCGUGUUUCCCUAAAGCCCAAUACUUGCACGGGACGCUGCGACGUAGACAGGCAUAAGCAGGAAGGUCGCGCGA
RNAcentral lists this non-coding RNA (166 nucleotides) under Pseudomonas poae. Lineage: Bacteria; Pseudomonadati; Pseudomonadota; Gammaproteobacteria; Pseudomonadales; Pseudomonadaceae. The record is from RNAcentral.